GCCGAUGUAGCUCAGUUGGUAGAGCAACGCAUUCGUAACGCGUAGGUCCCGAGUUCGAAUCUCGGCAUCGGCU
This 73-nucleotide transfer RNA is filed under the name Candidatus Kerfeldbacteria bacterium RIFOXYA2_FULL_38_24. Its description in RNAcentral is "tRNA-Thr". It matches the Rfam family "tRNA". From Rfam's summary of the family: Transfer RNA (tRNA) molecules are approximately 80 nucleotides in length. Their secondary structure includes four short double-helical elements and three loops (D, anti-codon, and T loops). Lineage: Bacteria; Candidatus Kerfeldiibacteriota. RNAcentral also lists the same sequence under 2 other names. The record is from RNAcentral.